Cinara cedri is the source of this 228-nucleotide non-coding RNA. The record is from the annotation of a GenBank genome assembly. Lineage: Eukaryota; Metazoa; Arthropoda; Insecta; Hemiptera; Aphididae.
GUUGAGUUGAGAAGAUUCAAUGGUAUUUAUGAUGAAUAUAUAUCUGUAUCUCAAAACUAGACGAACGUAAGCCCAUUAAUAAUGAUUUUUAAAUUAUUCCAUUUUUUGCAUGUAAGAUAUUAUUAUGUUUCCAUCGAGCCAUAAUAACGGGUCUGCUAAAAAUACUCCUUCCAAAUUUUACGAGGCUUAUUCGAAUGUAAAUCCUGAUAUAUGACAGGAAAAAUGUCC